CUACCUGAUCCGAGGUCAACCUUUGGAAAAUUGGGGGGUUUUACGGCAAGAGUCCCUCCGGAUCCCAGUGCGAGACGUAAAGUUACUACGCAAAGGAGGCUCCGGGAGGGUCCGCCACUACCUUUGAGGGCCUACAUCAGCUGUAGGGCCCCAACACCAAGCAGAGCUUGAGGGUUGAAAUGACGCUCGAACAGGCAUGCCCGCCAGAAUGCUGGCGGGCGCAAUGUGCGUUCAAAGAUUCGAUGAUUCACUGAAUUCUGCAAUUCACAUUACUUAUCGCAUUUCGCUGCGUUCUUCAUCGAUGCCAGAACCAAGAGAUCCGUUGUUAAAAGUUUUGAUUAUUUGCUUGUACCACUCAGAAGAAACGUCGUUAAAUCAGAGUUUGGUUAUCCUCCGGCGGGCGCCGACCCGCCCGGGGGCGGGAGGCCGGGAGGGUCACGGAGACCCUACCCGCCGAAGCAACAGUUAUAGGUAUGUUCACAAAGGGUUGUAGAGCGUAAACUCAGUAAUGAUCCCUACGCAGGUUCACCUACGGAA
Molecule: ribosomal RNA, 537 nt
Filed under: fungal sp. SNB-LD8.10
Lineage: Eukaryota; Fungi
Description: partial large subunit ribosomal RNA
Source: RNAcentral